Molecule: ribosomal RNA, 390 nt
Filed under: uncultured bacterium
Lineage: Bacteria
Description: bacterial SSU rRNA
Rfam family: Bacterial small subunit ribosomal RNA
Source: RNAcentral
GACGAACGUUGGCGGUGCGCUUUAUGCAUGCAAGUCGAGCGAGAAGCGUUGGUUCCGUAAGGUUCCGACGUGGAAAGCGGCGAACGGGUGCGUAACACGUGAGAAACCUGCCCCCCAGACCGGGAUAGCCCAGGGAAACUUGGAUUAAUACCGGAUACUCUCUCCGGAUCGCAUGAUCUGGUGAGGAAAGGUCCGCUGCUGGGGGAUGGUCUCGCGGCCUAUCAGGUAGUUGGUGAGGUAACGGCUCACCAAGCCGAAGACGGGUAGCUGGUCUGAGAGGACGAUCAGCCACACUGGAACUGAGACACGGUCCAGACUCCUACGGAGGCAGCAGCAGGGAAUAUUGCACAAUGGGCGAAAGCCUGAUGCAGCGACACCGCGUGCGGGAUG